Long non-coding RNA from Oreochromis aureus, 1064 nucleotides. NCBI's taxonomy places the organism in Eukaryota, Metazoa, Chordata, Actinopteri, Cichliformes, Cichlidae. The record is from Ensembl.
GGAAGCAGAAUUUGAAUGCAGGCCAACUCAAAUGUUGAAGCCUACAAUUAUAUCACCCAAGCUUUCAUUUAUGAUUGCUCAUGCUUUGAAAUUGUGAUGUCAGAAUUUGAUAAAGUGUGCCGUGCUAGGUGUAGCAAAUCAUUGCUUAUGAAAUCUACUGUGUUAUCUAAUAGAACCAAACUAAUAGAGCUAUCACAUAACUGAGAAACUUGUGUGGCUUAUUACAAAUGGAUGAAACCACAUAUUACCUUAAUGAAGACAGUAAUAUUUAAUAAGGUGUAGAAAAAACAGGUGAGUUGUUUGUUGCUGUGGUAAAUAAAGAAGUGUACUGAGUCUUUUGGACUACACAGAGUUAUGUAGUAUUGACUCUGAUGCUGAUUUGAGUUGUCUCAUUUUGUAUUUUUGUGCUUUGUCUUUUGUUACACAGAGUGAAAGAGAUCUUUGGUUUUGCCUUUGCUGACUGCUGAUCUGAUCGUCUCAAGUCUGGUGACCUGCUGCAGAAAACCCUCUCCCUCUACCAUUAACAAGCAAUUCAGUCUGUCCUAUCACUCUCCCUCUCCCUGCUCCAUCUUUUUUGACAAGCCAUUCUAUCUUCUAUCAUUUCUCCGCCACGAGCUCUAAGUUGACAAGCUUGAACCUGAGUUGAAAAGCAAAACAAGUUUGCCUGAAACCCAAGUUUGAGAUGAAACCAAGUUUGAGAUGAAACCAAGUUUGAGAUGAAACCAAGUUUUUGGAAUUGAAGUUACCACAACUUCAUCGAUCUGUUUUCAGAAUUCGGAGAGAUCUCCGCUCUCACGGCUCCUUCUUUCCUGUCAUUAAACUUUCAUAUCCACUCAUUUUGCUGGAAAUUACAAGUAAAAAGUUGAAUAUACAGUAGUAGAAUUACAGUACAGUAGAACUCACUGUAGAAACUACUUACAGAGCCCUACAUUUGUCAUUUUAAUUUUGCAUUACACUUUGAAAUAAACACUGAUAGUUUGGCUUACAAGUGCAAUUUGAUCAAUUAUAUAAACUUAUAUACACCUUUUUUUAGAUAUAUUUGUAUUAAGAUAAUCUGGUUAUUU